UACGAAGGGGGCUAGCGUUGCUCGGAAUGACUGGGCGUAAAGGGCGCGUAGGCGGAUGGCACAGUCAGAUGUGAAAUUCCCGGGCUUAACCUGGGGGCUGCAUUUGAUACGUGUUGUCUUGAGUUCGGAAGAGGGUCGUGGAAUUCCCAGUGUAGAGGUGAAAUUCGUAGAUAUUGGGAAGAACACCGGUGGCGAAGGCGGCGACCUGGUCCUUGACUGACGCUGAGGCGCGAAAGCGUGGGGAGCAAACAGG
This 253-nucleotide ribosomal RNA is filed under the name uncultured bacterium. Its description in RNAcentral is "partial 16S ribosomal RNA". It matches the Rfam family "Bacterial small subunit ribosomal RNA", at positions 524 to 776 of the family's 1533-position model. The record is from RNAcentral.